GAUGAACGCUGGCGGCGUGCUUAACACAUGCAAGUCGAACGGAAAGGCCCAAGCUUGCUUGGGUACUCGAGUGGCGAACGGGUGAGUAACACGUGGGUGAUCUGCCCUGCACUUCGGGAUAAGCCUGGGAAACUGGGUCUAAUACCGGAUAGGACCACUUCUUGGAUGUUGUGGUGGAAAGUUUUUUCGGUGUGGGAUGAGCUCGCGGCCUAUCAGCUUAUUGGUGGGGUAAUGGCCUACCAAGGCGUCGACGGGUAGCCGGCCUGAGAGGGUGUACGGCCACAUUGGGACUGAGAUACGGCCCAGACUGCUACGGGAGGCAGCAGUGGGGAAUAUUGCACAAUGGGCGCAAGCCUGAUGCAGCGACGCCGCGUGGGGGAUGACGGCCUUCGGGUUGUAAACUCCUUUCGCUAGGGACGAAGCGUUUUGUGACGGUACCUGGAGAAGAAGCACCGGCUAACUACGUG
This 467-nucleotide ribosomal RNA is filed under the name uncultured bacterium. RNAcentral's name for it is "partial 16S ribosomal RNA". It matches the Rfam family "Bacterial small subunit ribosomal RNA", at positions 28 to 507 of the family's 1533-position model. The record is from RNAcentral.